RNAcentral lists this ribosomal RNA (207 nucleotides) under uncultured bacterium. RNAcentral describes it as "partial 16S ribosomal RNA". It matches the Rfam family "Bacterial small subunit ribosomal RNA", at positions 568 to 774 of the family's 1533-position model. The record is from RNAcentral.
CGUGUAGGCGGCCAAACAGGUCCGUUGUGAAAACUGGAGGCUCAACCUCCAGACGUCGACGGAAACCGUAUGGCUAGAGUCCGGAAGAGGAGAGUGGAAUUCCUGGUGUAGCAGUGAAAUGCGCAGAUAUCAGGAAGAACACCUAUGGCGAGGGCAGCUCUCUGGGACGGUACUGACGCUGAGACGCGAAAGCGUGGGGAGCGAACA